GUUUACGUAGCUUAACACACCCAAAGCAAGACACUGAAAAUGCCUAGACGGGUCUACAGACCCCGUAAACA
This 71-nucleotide transfer RNA is filed under the name Presbytis melalophos (mitred leaf monkey). Its description in RNAcentral is "tRNA-Phe". Lineage: Eukaryota; Metazoa; Chordata; Mammalia; Primates; Cercopithecidae. The record is from RNAcentral.